AGCUGGUCCAAAGGUUGUGACUUAUCUCAGUUGGUUGUUCACAGUCAGUUACAGAUCGAACUCCUCGCUCUACUCUUUCCCGCCUUGUCACAACUGCACUUGACUAGUCUAAA
This is a Y RNA of Callithrix jacchus (white-tufted-ear marmoset), 113 nucleotides long. It matches the Rfam family "Y RNA". Rfam says of the family: Y RNAs are components of the Ro ribonucleoprotein particle (Ro RNP), in association with Ro60 and La proteins. The Y RNAs and Ro60 and La proteins are well conserved, but the function of the Ro RNP is not known. The record is from Ensembl. Lineage: Eukaryota; Metazoa; Chordata; Mammalia; Primates; Cebidae.